RNAcentral lists this microRNA precursor (71 nucleotides) under Paramuricea clavata. Lineage: Eukaryota; Metazoa; Cnidaria; Anthozoa; Malacalcyonacea; Plexauridae. The record is from RNAcentral.
UUUGUAUUACGUGCGGAAAUUGUUACCAUUUUUGAGCCGAAAAUGGUAACAAUUACCGCACGUAAUACAAA